RNAcentral lists this ribosomal RNA (201 nucleotides) under Lactobacillus crispatus. Its description in RNAcentral is "partial 23S ribosomal RNA". It matches the Rfam family "Bacterial large subunit ribosomal RNA", at positions 2223 to 2423 of the family's 2925-position model. The record is from RNAcentral. Lineage: Bacteria; Bacillati; Bacillota; Bacilli; Lactobacillales; Lactobacillaceae.
UAACCUCGACCUGUAAGCCAGGCCAGGGACAGUGUCAGGUGGGCAGUUUGACUGGGGCGGUCGCCUCCUAAAGUGUAACGGAGGCGCUCAAAGGUUCCCUCAGAAUGGUUGGAAAUCAUUCGCAGAGGGUAAAGGGAUAAGGGAGCUUGGCUGCGAGAGAGACAACUCGAGCAGGGAGGAAACUAGGACUUAGUGAUCUGG